UGGGGAAUUUUGGACAAUGGGCGAAAGCCUGAUCCAGCAAUGCCGCGUGUGUGAAGAAGGCCUUCGGGUUGUAAAGCACUUUUGUCCGGAAAGAAAUCCUUGGCUCUAAUACAGUCGGGGGAUGACGGUACCGGAAGAAUAAGCACCGGCUAACUACGUGCCAGCAGCCGCGGUAAUACGUAGGGUGCAAGNGUUAAUCGGAAUUACUGGGCGUAAAGCGUGCGCAGGCGGUUUGCUAAGACCGAUGUGAAAUCCCCGGGCUCAACCUGGGGACUGCAUUGGUGACUGGCAGGCUAGAGUAUGGCAGAGGGGGGUUAGAAUUCCACGUGUAGCAGUGAAAUGCGUAGAGAUGUGGAGGAAUACCGAUGGCGAAGGCAGCCCCCUGGGCCAAUACUGACGCUCAUGCACGAAAGCGUGGGGAGCAAACAGGAUUAGAUACCCUGGUAGUCCACGCCCUAAACGAUGUCAACUAGUUGUUGGGGAUUCAUUUCCUAGUAACGUAGCUAACGCGUGAAGUUGACCGCCUGGGGAGUACGGUCGCAAGAUUAAAACUCAAUGAAUUGACGGGGUCAUAGCUGUUUCCU
This 584-nucleotide ribosomal RNA is filed under the name uncultured bacterium. Its description in RNAcentral is "partial 16S ribosomal RNA". It matches the Rfam family "Bacterial small subunit ribosomal RNA", at positions 355 to 1375 of the family's 1533-position model. The record is from RNAcentral.